This 497-nucleotide ribosomal RNA is filed under the name uncultured bacterium. RNAcentral describes it as "partial 16S ribosomal RNA". It matches the Rfam family "Bacterial small subunit ribosomal RNA", at positions 28 to 507 of the family's 1533-position model. The record is from RNAcentral.
GAUGAACGCUGGCGGCGUGCCUAAUACAUGCAAGUCGAACGCAUAGCGAAAGGUGCUUGCACCUUUCAAGUGAGUGGCGAACGGGUGAGUAACACGUGGACCACCUGCCUCAAGGCUGGGGAUAACAUUUGGAAACAGAUGCUACUACCGAAUAACACUUAGUGUCGCAUGACACAAAGUUAAAAGGCGCUUCGGCGUCACCUAGCGAUGGAUCCGCGGUGCAUUAGUUAGUUGGUGGGGUAAAGGCCUACCAAGACAAUGAUGCAUAGCCGAGUUGAGAGACUGAUCGGCCACAUUGGGACUGAGACACGGCCCAAACUCCUACGGGAGGCUGCAGUAGGGAAUCUUCCACAAUGGGCGAAAGCCUGAUGGAGCAACGCCGCGUGUGUGAUGAAGGCUUUCGGGUCGUAAAGCACUGUUGUAUGGGAAGAACAGCUAGAAUAGGAAAUGAUUUUAGUUUGACGGUACCAGACCAGAAAGGGACGGCUAAAUACGUG